UAAAUUUUCGAUCUACUAAGCAUACCUAGUGAAGUGGUGUGAAAGAAGAAGGCUCAAACACUAAGAAAACGGGAGACUCACAAGAUCGAGGUAAAUCCUCAAUCUAGGCGGUUGGACGAUUUGGAGCGAGCACAUGCACACUUAUUGACCAUUAAGCGCUUCCGCUAUUUCGUAUUAAUGUUUUGGGUCAAAAAGCUUGUUUUGUAUAACCUUGUUAGUAGU
Helianthus annuus (common sunflower) is the source of this 222-nucleotide long non-coding RNA. RefSeq lists it as uncharacterized. The record is from RefSeq and is a predicted model, not a curated record. NCBI's taxonomy places the organism in Eukaryota, Viridiplantae, Streptophyta, Magnoliopsida, Asterales, Asteraceae. The transcript is spliced from 3 exons.